This 624-nucleotide ribosomal RNA is filed under the name uncultured bacterium. RNAcentral describes it as "bacterial SSU rRNA". The stretch from base 1 to 542 matches the Rfam family "Bacterial small subunit ribosomal RNA", at positions 338 to 873 of the family's 1533-position model. The record is from RNAcentral.
CCUACGGGAGGCAGCAGUGGGGAAUUUUGGACAAUGGGCGCAAGCCUGAUCCAGCCAUGCCGCGUGUGGGAAGAAGGCCUUCGGGUUGUAAACCACUUUUGUCAGGGAAGAAACGGUCUGAACUAAUACUUUGGACUAAUGACGGUACCUGAAGAAUAAGCACCGGCUAACUACGUGCCAGCAGCCGCGGUAAUACGUAGGGUGCAAGCGUUAAUCGGAAUUACUGGGCGUAAAGCGUGCGCAGGCGGCUUUGCAAGACAGAUGUGAAAUCCCCGGGCUCAACCUGGGAACUGCAUUUGUGACUGCAUGGCUAGAGUACGGUAGAGGGGGAUGGAAUUCCGCGUGUAGCAGUGAAAUGCGUAGAUAUGCGGAGGAACACCGAUGGCGAAGGCAAUCCCCUGGACCUGUACUGACGCUCAUGCACGAAAGCGUGGGGAGCAAACAGGAUUAGAUACCCUGGUAGUCCACGCCCUAAACGAUGUCAACUGGUUGUUGGGAGGGUUUCUUCUCAGUAACGAAGCUAACGCGUGAAGUUGACCGCCUGGGGGAGGUACGGCCGCGAGUAGAACGUACAANAGAGUUAGACGGCGUGAGACGUGCGACGGACGACGACGAGGGAGGAGG